GCCAACAGGAUUACGAGCUUGUAGUCUGAUCUUUUCAGAUCUCAGAAGUUAAGCAAGAAUGGGCCUGGUAAGUACUGGGAUGAGAGACCUCCAAGCAAAACCAGGUUGCUGCUGCAG
Molecule: ribosomal RNA, 117 nt
Filed under: Lepisosteus oculatus (spotted gar)
Lineage: Eukaryota; Metazoa; Chordata; Actinopteri; Semionotiformes; Lepisosteidae
Source: RNAcentral